GACGAACGCUGGCGGCGUGCUUAACACAUGCAAGUCGAACGCUGAAGCUCAGCUUUUGUUGGGUGGAUGAGUGGCGAACGGGUGAGUAACACGUGAGUAACCUGCCCCCUUCUUUGGGAUAACGCCCGGAAACGGGUGCUAAUACUGGAUAUUCACUGGUCUUCGCAUGGGGGUUGGUGGAAAGGGUUUUUCUGGUGGGGGAUGGGCUCGCGGCCUAUCAGCUUGUUGGUGGGGUGAUGGCCUACCAAGGCUUUGACGGGUAGCCGGCCUGAGAGGGUGACCGGUCACAUUGGGACUGAGAUACGGCCCAGACUCCUACGGGAGGCAGCAGUGGGGAAUAUUGCACAAUGGGCGCAAGCCUGAUGCAGCGACGCCGCGUGAGGGAUGGAGGCCUUCGGGUUGUGAACCUCUUUCGCUCAUGGUCAAGCCGCAACAAUGGUUGUGGAGAGGGUAGUGGGUAAAGAAGCGCCGGCUAACUACGUG
This 483-nucleotide ribosomal RNA is filed under the name uncultured bacterium. Its description in RNAcentral is "partial 16S ribosomal RNA". It matches the Rfam family "Bacterial small subunit ribosomal RNA", at positions 28 to 507 of the family's 1533-position model. The record is from RNAcentral.